Long non-coding RNA from Drosophila innubila, 1132 nucleotides. RefSeq lists it as uncharacterized. The transcript is spliced from 7 exons. The record is from RefSeq and is a predicted model, not a curated record. Lineage: Eukaryota; Metazoa; Arthropoda; Insecta; Diptera; Drosophilidae.
AACCGCGAAAAUGGUGAAAUUGAAUAAGUUUUGUUUCUGUAUUCCGUUGAAAUGGGGAAAUCCCAUUAUAGUCGUCAUUGAUUCUUUACUAUUCGUGAUUGGAAUGGCUGCAUUAGCUUUUGAAUGGAAACAAGUAAAAAACGUGAAUCUGCCGUAUAUUAUUUUAAUCUUAAUGAAUAACUCCAUACUCCAUUUAGUUGGAGGAUUAUUGUUACUAGUCUCAAUAUUAUGGGUGAAAAGCAGAGAAUUAGUAAUUUGCUAUGCCUUCUCCGGAUGCUGGCGACUUGUAACCUUUGCCAGCAUUAUCGUCUGUGGAUUUGUAAAUUGGUGGAUCUAUGUCGUUAUAGCAUUUAUCAUCAAUUUCAUCUUUGGAAUUUAUUUUAUGGUCUGUGUCUUCUUUUGGCACGCUGAAGUUGAAGAACAGAAUUAAAAUUAUGCCGAGUCUAACAAAUUAUAGAAAUAUGUUACAAAUGAAAUUGAUCAAGUGUGCCAUAUUUAUUGAUAUGUCAAGCAAGCUUUGCACAUCCAGAAAUUUUUCAUUUCUAUUUUAUUUAUCAAAUAAAUUGUGUACGUGUGAACAUCAAAUAAAAAUUCCAAAUUUGUUGCUGAAAUAAUUUAUAUACAACUACUAAAAUGGUGAAAAUGCAAAAGUUCUGUUUCAUAAUUCCUCUCAAAUGGGGAAAUCCUAUUAUUGUUAUCAUCGAUACAUUAUUGUUCGUGCUUGGAAUGGCGGCAUUAGCUUUUGAAUGGAAAAAAGAAAAGGAUACGCAUCUGGCGUAUUUUAUGCUACUCUUAAUCAAUAAUUCAAUACUCCAUUUAGUUGGAGGCAUCUUCUUACUAGUAUCAGUAUUAUGGGUGAAAAGUAAAGAAUUAGUGGUUUGCUAUGGGUUUUCUGGGUGCUGGCGUCUUCUAACCUUUAUAACCAUUAUCGUCUUUGGAUUUGUAAAAUGGUGGCUUUAUACCGCUUUAAUCUUUAUACUAAUUUUCAUCUUUGGCCUUUACUUUAUGGUCUGUGUAUUUUUUUGGCACGCUGAACUAGCAGCUGAAGAAUCGAAAUAAAAGUGUGCUGAAUCAAUUUAUAGAUUAAAUAAAUAGUCCAUAUAUAUAUUUUUCAGAGACGGUCCCAAGUCAA